CCCCGAAAAGCUUUGAUCCGGAAUGUCGUUGACUCAGGCGGCACCUGAAAGCCGAGCCCGAUAUCAGAAGAUAUUUCGAUUCGCAGCAUAUACGUCUGGCAUUCGAAAACAAUUUUCGAAUUGGGGAUAAACAGGAUGUCGUACUAGACCAUAUGUUAGUAACAAAAAUAAACAAAACCUUCUAUUGGCAGCUCAAGAUUCUUUGCUGGCUCCCUUUACCACCAUUCCCCCUAAAUCUUGGGAUACCAAUAAUAUUUAAUCCAAUCUAACCCAGAGUUUGAUCAAUUAACUGAACUGUGAACACUGUGACUUUCAUCACUUCUGAGCCUGGCGACUGCCACGGAAACCAAACCAGAGCAGCCCAUUAUUCCGCGAUGGAGUUGGAGUUGGAACCAAGCAACUCUAUUGAAUUGCACAUGGGGCCAGUGGGCCAAUAUGAAAUUAUCAAAACGCAACUGACAACUGCCGGUGAAACUGAAGUGGACAAGGAUACCGUUACAGUCUAUACAAAUGUCGCCGACGCCGCACACGCACUUUGACACACGCAGUUUUCCGAACAGGUGGAAUCCAGGUGGUUUCACCAGUGAUGAGCUCUCCUUCGAAGCCAUUAAAAUGCAACAUUUUUAGUUAAAAUCAAAUGUCUCACUCUCUGAAAGCAUUCGGAGGAAUUAUUCUUCAAAUAAUUUAACCGUCUGAGCUUUUUUUAUUAAGGCAUUUCAGCUAACAUUCCAAAAAAAUUUAAAUGUUAGUAGAGACUUGAUUGUAAUCUGUAAUCUGUAUCCCAAUCCUGAAUAGAAAGUAGCUAAUAUCUUAUUACACCACAGUUCCCAAGUACGUGGGAUAAACAAUUGUGUCAUCACUGGGGAGAAAACCACCACUAUGAGAAUGAUGUAUGAAUUGCUUUGAAUUUAGUUGUCAAAGCUAUGUUCUGUUGAAUGCGGAGCAUGGAUAUCACAGCGCUUCGUAAAUUGUUAAAAUGUGUCAGAAUUGCACAAAACGCGGCAUAGCAUGUACAACAAAACCAGCGAAAAAUGGCAGUAGAACGCAGCUGACAGUAGGGUUUGACAACAAAAGUGAGCAUAACUGACAGCACGGAGGAAAGUCUACAACAGUGGCAAAAAUCAAAGCAAUUCCCUCAAAAGGGAAAAAGGAUUGUGUGAAAUUAACAGGCGUAUGUUAAAUCAUUACUUUUACGAAACUAUUUCAAAUCAUUCCUGUCAUGCCGUGACAGUACUUUAAGUUUAAUUGUACCUUAAUAAAAGGAGUAUAGACACUA
Non-coding RNA from Drosophila melanogaster (fruit fly), 1276 nucleotides. The record is from Ensembl. Lineage: Eukaryota; Metazoa; Arthropoda; Insecta; Diptera; Drosophilidae.